RNAcentral lists this ribosomal RNA (253 nucleotides) under uncultured bacterium. RNAcentral describes it as "partial 16S ribosomal RNA". It matches the Rfam family "Bacterial small subunit ribosomal RNA", at positions 524 to 776 of the family's 1533-position model. The record is from RNAcentral.
UACGAAGGGUGCAAGCGUUAAUCGGAAUUACUGGGCGUAAGGCGUGCGUAGGUGGUUUGUUAAGUCUGCUGUGAAAGCCCUGGGCUCAACCUGGGAAUGGCGGUGGAUACUGACAAGCCAGAGUGCGGUAGAGGAGGGUGGAAUUCCCGGUGUAGCGGUGAAAUGCGUAGAGAUCGGGAGGAACAUCAGUGGCGAAGGCGGCCCUCUGGACCAGCACUGACGCUGAGGCACGAAAGCGUGGGGAGCAAACAGG